UUUAAGGCGAGAUAUCGAUUUCUAUGUCUAACAUUUCACCGUUUGUCUUAUUUAAAAUUCUUUUAUGAUUAGUAUUUUAUUUGUUAUUAAAUGAUAAAAUAUGUAUAAUACUUUAUGCGUGACUUAUUUUUUUUGAAAAAAUUAAAUAAGACGAACGAUGGACACAGAAACUCACAACAACGCUUAAA
Non-coding RNA from Oryza meridionalis, 188 nucleotides. Lineage: Eukaryota; Viridiplantae; Streptophyta; Magnoliopsida; Poales; Poaceae. The record is from Rfam.